UGGGGAAUAUUGCACAAUGGGCGCAAGCCUGAUGCAGCCAUGCCGCGUGUGUGAAGAAGGCCUUCGGGUUGUAAAGCACUUUCAGCGUGGAGGAAGGCGAUAAGGUUAAUAACCUUGUCGAUUGACGUUACCCGCAGAAGAAGCACCGGCUAACUCCGUGCCAGCAGCCGCGGUAAUACGGAGGGUGCAAGCGUUAAUCGGAAUUACUGGGCGUAAAGCGCACGCAGGCGGUUUGUUAAGUCAGAUGUGAAAUCCCCGGGCUCAACCUGGGAACUGCAUCUGAUACUGGCAAGCUUGAGUCUCGUAGAGGGGGGUAGAAUUCCAGGUGUAGCGGUGAAAUGCGUAGAGAUCUGGAGGAAUACCGGUGGCGAAGGCGGCCCCCUGGACGAAGACUGACGCUCAGGUGCGAAAGCGUGGGGAGCAAACAGG
RNAcentral lists this ribosomal RNA (429 nucleotides) under Chloroflexota bacterium. Its description in RNAcentral is "Chloroflexi bacterium partial 16S ribosomal RNA". It matches the Rfam family "Bacterial small subunit ribosomal RNA", at positions 355 to 776 of the family's 1533-position model. The record is from RNAcentral. Lineage: Bacteria; Bacillati; Chloroflexota.